UACGUAGGGGGCGAGCGUUGUCCGAAGUUACUGGGCGUAAAGCGCGCGUAGGCGGGAGUAUAAGUGAGAAGUGAAAGGCUGAGGCUCAACCUCAUGCAGUGCUUCUCAUACUGUACUUCUUGAGUGCGGCAGAGAGAAGUGGAAUGGCUGGUGUAGCGGUGAAAUGCGUAGAUAUCAGUCGGAACACCCGUGGCGAAGGCGGCUUCUUGGGCCGAGACUGACGCUGAGGCGCGAAAGCUGGGGGAGCGAACGGGAUUAGAUACCCUGGUAGU
RNAcentral lists this ribosomal RNA (272 nucleotides) under uncultured bacterium. Its description in RNAcentral is "partial 16S ribosomal RNA". It matches the Rfam family "Bacterial small subunit ribosomal RNA", at positions 524 to 794 of the family's 1533-position model. The record is from RNAcentral.